Long non-coding RNA from Cavia porcellus (domestic guinea pig), 497 nucleotides. RefSeq lists it as uncharacterized. NCBI's taxonomy places the organism in Eukaryota, Metazoa, Chordata, Mammalia, Rodentia, Caviidae. The transcript is spliced from 3 exons. The record is from RefSeq and is a predicted model, not a curated record.
CCUUGGAUGCAGGGAGUCUGCCAAAGAGCUGGUUCCAUGAUUUUAACUACAAUGUCCAGGUUUUGAAGGACUGAAGAACUCCUUCAAAUGAAAAGAUACUCUGUAGACCUGGAAACCAAACGCAGCUUACUUCUUCACACUGGGUCGUUUGCUGUGAAGGACGUUAUUGUGACCAGAGGGUUCUUGCAGUAGAUCCUCCAUUUGUAGUCUCCAAUGUGAUCUUUCUUGUCGCUCAUUACAAAGACUUCCUGGGCAUCCACGGCCUCCACCUCUGCAGAGUAUUGUCACCAUUCUAGGCCAGGGCUGGCCGCUGCACACGCCGCCUGCUGGACUGCUGAUGUCACUCUUCUUCCACAGUUCCGGCCCAGCUCACUGUGGGAAGAUGUGGGGAAGUCUGAAUGCUGCCACAUCAUCAUGCUCCUUGCCUUUGGAAUUCCCCAGGAGUGAAAUACGUGUUAAAACUUUGUCUCUUUCAACAUCAGAACAGCGUUGGGGAG